GCCGCGGUAGCUCAGUCGGUAGAGCAGAGGACUGAAAAUCCUCGUGUCGGCAGUUCGAUUCUGCCUUGCGGCACCA
This 76-nucleotide transfer RNA is filed under the name Negativicutes bacterium. Its description in RNAcentral is "tRNA-Phe". It matches the Rfam family "tRNA". Rfam says of the family: Transfer RNA (tRNA) molecules are approximately 80 nucleotides in length. Their secondary structure includes four short double-helical elements and three loops (D, anti-codon, and T loops). Lineage: Bacteria; Bacillati; Bacillota; Negativicutes. The record is from RNAcentral.